Molecule: long non-coding RNA, 258 nt
Filed under: Homo sapiens (human)
Lineage: Eukaryota; Metazoa; Chordata; Mammalia; Primates; Hominidae
Description: non-protein coding lnc-JMJD4-2:3
Source: RNAcentral
CCAUGUGCCAUAUGUGAGAAAUCCUUCUGUCAGAAAUCAAAUCUAAGCGUUUAUCAGAGAAUCCACACAGAGGGAAAAUCCUAUUUUGCUAAAAACAUUUUGGCAGCAGUCAGCACUCAGGGUCCAUCAGAGAAAUCACACGGGGGAAAAACCCUAUGAAUGUAAUCAAUGUGGAAAACCCUUUGGCUGGAAGUCAAGCCUUAGGUCGCAUCAGAGUAUUCACAGAGGGCAGAAAACCUAUGGAUGUAAUGUAUGUAG